UUAGAGUUUGAUCCUGGCUCAGGACGAACGCUGGCGGCGUGCCUAAUACAUGCAAGUCGAACGCUUUUUCUUUCACCGGAGCUUGCUCCAUCGGAAGAAAAAGAGUGGCGGACGGGUGAGUAACACGUGGGUAACUUGCCCAUCAGAGGGGGAUAACACUUGGAAACAGGUGCUAAUACCGCAUAACUCCAGUGACCGCAUGGUCAUGGGAUAAAAGACGCUUUCGGGUGUCACUGAUGGAUGGACCCGCGCUGCAUUAGCUAGUUGGUGGGGUAAAGGCUCACCAAGGCCAUGGUGCAUAGCCGACCUGAGAGGGUGAUCGGCCACACUGGGACUGAGACACGGCCCAGACUCCUACGGGAGGCAGCAGUAGGGAAUCUUCGGCAAUGGACGAAAGUCUGACCGAGCAACGCCGCGUGAGUGAAGAAGGUUUUCGGAUCGUAAAACUCUGUUGUUAGAGAAGAAUUAGCGGGAAAGUAACUGUUCCCGCCCUGACGGUAUCUAACCAGAAAGCCACGGCUAACUACGUGCCAGCAGCCGCGGUAAUACGUAGGUGGCAAGCGUUGUCCGGAUUUAUUGGGCGUAAAGCGAGCGCAGGCGGUUUCUUAAGUCUGAUGUGAAAUCCCCCGGCUCAACCGGGGAAGGUCAUUGGAAACUGGGGGAACUUGAGUGCAGAAGAGGAGAGUGGAAUUCCAUGUGUAGCGGUGAAAUGCGUAGAUAUUAGGAAGAAUACCCGUAGCGAAGGGCGACUUACUGGCCCUCUAACUGACGCUGAAGAACGAAAGCGUGGGGUAGCAAAACAGGAUUAAAAUACCCUGGUAAUCCCCCCC
Molecule: ribosomal RNA, 830 nt
Filed under: uncultured bacterium
Lineage: Bacteria
Description: bacterial SSU rRNA
Rfam family: Bacterial small subunit ribosomal RNA
Source: RNAcentral